CCCUUAGAUGUCCGGGGCCGCACGCGCGCUACACUGAAGGAAUCAGCGUGGCUUUCUCCCUGACCCGAGAGGGUUGGGAAACCCGUUGAAUCUCCUUCGUGAUAGGGAUUGGGGCUUGAAAUUGUUCCCCAUGAACGAGGAAUUCCCAGUAAGCGCGAGUCAUAAGCUCGCGUUGAUUACGUCCCUGCCCUUUGUACACACCGCCCGUCGCUACUACUGAUUGGAUGUUUAAGCGAGGUUCUCGAACUGCUAGCGACUUAGCUUCGGUGAGGUCGCAGUGUGGGAAGUGAACCUAGCUUUGGUGUCUAGAGGAAGUAAAAGUCGUAACA
Molecule: ribosomal RNA, 329 nt
Filed under: uncultured eukaryote
Lineage: Eukaryota
Description: partial 18S ribosomal RNA
Rfam family: Eukaryotic small subunit ribosomal RNA
Source: RNAcentral